RNAcentral lists this ribosomal RNA (864 nucleotides) under Salmonella enterica. Its description in RNAcentral is "partial 23S ribosomal RNA". It matches the Rfam family "Bacterial large subunit ribosomal RNA", at positions 711 to 1573 of the family's 2925-position model. Lineage: Bacteria; Pseudomonadati; Pseudomonadota; Gammaproteobacteria; Enterobacterales; Enterobacteriaceae. The record is from RNAcentral.
AGACCCGAAACCCGGUGAUCUAGCCAUGGGCAGGUUGAAGGUUGGGUAACACUAACUGGAGGACCGAACCGACUAAUGUUGAAAAAUUAGCGGAUGACCUGUGGCUGGGGGUGAAAGGCCAAUCAAACCGGGAGAUAGCUGGUUCUCCCCGAAAGCUAUUUAGGUAGCGCCUCGUGAAUUCAUCUCCGGGGGUAGAGCACUGUUUCGGCUAGGGGGCCAUCCCGGCUUACCAACCCGAUGCAAACUGCGAAUACCGGAGAAUGUUAUCACGGGAGACACACGGCGGGUGCUAACGUCCGUCGUGAAGAGGGAAACAACCCAGACCGCCAGCUAAGGUCCCAAAGUCAUGGUUAAGUGGGAAACGAUGUGGGAAGGCCCAGACAGCCAGGAUGUUGGCUUAGAAGCAGCCAUCAUUUAAAGAAAGCGUAAUAGCUCACUGGUCGAGUCGGCCUGCGCGGAAGAUGUAACGGGGCUAAACCAUGCACCGAAGCUGCGGCAGCGACACUCAGGUGUUGUUGGGUAGGGGAGCGUUCUGUAAGCCUGCGAAGGUGGCCUGUGAGGGUUGCUGGAGGUAUCAGAAGUGCGAAUGCUGACAUAAGUAACGAUAAAGCGGGUGAAAAGCCCGCUCGCCGGAAGACCAAGGGUUCCUGUCCAACGUUAAUCGGGGCAGGGUGAGUCGACCCCUAAGGCGAGGCCGAAAGGCGUAGUCGAUGGGAAACGGGUUAAUAUUCCCGUACUUGGUGUUACUGCGAAGGGGGGACGGAGAAGGCUAUGUUGGCCGGGCGACGGUUGUCCCGGUUUAAGCGUGUAGGUGUGUGUUCCAGGUAAAUCCGGUUCACUUUAACACUGAGGCGUGACGACGAG